RNAcentral lists this long non-coding RNA (708 nucleotides) under Mus spicilegus (steppe mouse). RNAcentral's name for it is "lncRNA (ENSMSIG00000014022.1)". The record is from RNAcentral. Lineage: Eukaryota; Metazoa; Chordata; Mammalia; Rodentia; Muridae.
AGUGAAGCCUGCAGAGAGUCCUCCUGGGGACAGAACAGUGCAUGGAGUCUCUCCACCCAGUCAUUCACUUCCUCCUCUACGUGCUCGCCUACUCCUGCGUCUACUCUUGUCUGUAUUUGUUGGUUUAUUUUAUUAGCAUCUUUACGGAGGAUUAGGCAACCCGCUGGACACAAGCCUCUUUGGGUACAGAAAACCCUACCCACUGCCCAUGGGUCUUCAAGACAUGCCUUGCAUCGACAAGGGCAGGACUGGCCUAGGUGGGGCUGUUUCUGCCUGUGCCCAUUCUCUCUGCCCUAUACCUGGUCACUUCUCCCUGGUGGACCUGUAGAAGGGCCCUUAUCAUCUGGAAUGGCACCCCAGCAGCCCUGCAGGGACCCAUCAACUCAGUUACCGCUCCUUCGCACCGAUGGAUAGGCCAGCACGCUUCACUGGCCGCUUCAGAGGCGUGAGGACGGCUACAGUCUCUCAUCUUCCUUUAGUCCAGCUCAGAACCCAGCGCUCUCCGGGAAGCACAGAAAUUGGAUCACUCUGUAAAGCCAAACGGAGAUGAAGGGCGUUUGGUCUCUGGGAAUGAAUAUGUAACGCCUCUGCUCUCCAAAGACUCCUUUUGUGUAACUCAGCUUUCAACAGUCCGACAUCCAAAGAAGGCAGACAUACCACCCUGACAACUUAAAUAAAAAUUUCAACUUUUUUUUUGUUGUUAAAUAU